Molecule: transfer RNA, 59 nt
Filed under: Mesocricetus auratus (golden hamster)
Lineage: Eukaryota; Metazoa; Chordata; Mammalia; Rodentia; Cricetidae
Source: Rfam by way of RNAcentral
UGGCUCAGUCAGUUAAGAGCGCUGGCUGCUCUUCCAGAGGUCCUGGGUUCAAUUCCCAG